This 238-nucleotide ribosomal RNA is filed under the name uncultured bacterium. Its description in RNAcentral is "partial 16S ribosomal RNA". It matches the Rfam family "Bacterial small subunit ribosomal RNA", at positions 539 to 776 of the family's 1533-position model. The record is from RNAcentral.
CGUUGUUCGGAAUUACUGGGCGUAAAGGGCUCGUAGGUGGCCAACUAAGUCAGACGUGAAAUCCCUCGGCUUAACCGGGGAACUGCGUCUGAUACUGGAUGGCUUGAGUUCGGGAGAGGGAUGCGGAAUUCCAGGUGUAGCGGUGAAAUGCGUAGAUAUCUGGAGGAACACCGGUGGCGAAGGCGGCAUCCUGGACCGACACUGACACUGAGGAGCGAAAGCCAGGGGAGCAAACGGG